GUGAAAGUGUGAACCCAUUGGAAAAUUUUGGAAUUUGUGUCUUGUCAUGAACCUCUUCGAUCAGCUUCCCAAUCUCAUUUUCCAGGACUCAGAGCUAUUGCAGGAGGACUCUAAAUUCAUGGUCUUUUAGGACUACUCCACAUUUGUCACUAACAAACUCAACUAUUUCAACUCUAUUUGGAGGAAGAUGGUGAUGAAAAUGUUAUUG
Molecule: non-coding RNA, 208 nt
Organism: Pelobates cultripes (western spadefoot toad)
Lineage: Eukaryota; Metazoa; Chordata; Amphibia; Anura; Pelobatidae
Source: the annotation of a GenBank genome assembly